ACACAUGCAAGUCGAGCGGUAGAGAGAAGCUUGCUUCUCUUGAGAGCGGCGGACGGGUGAGUAAAGCCUAGGAAUCUGCCUGGUAGUGGGGGAUAACGUUCGGAAACGGACGCUAAUACCGCAUACGUCCUACGGGAGAAAGCAGGGGACCUUCGGGCCUUGCGCUAUCAGAUGAGCCUAGGUCGGAUUAGCUAGUUGGUGAGGUAAUGGCUCACCAAGGCGACGAUCCGUAACUGGUCUGAGAGGAUGAUCAGUCACACUGGAACUGAGACACGGUCCAGACUCCUACGGGAGGCAGCAGUGGGGAAUAUUGGACAAUGGGCGAAAGCCUGAUCCAGCCAUGCCGCGUGUGUGAAGAAGGUCUUCGGAUUGUAAAGCACUUUAAGUUGGGAGGAAGGGUUGUAGAUUAAUACUCUGCAAUUUUGACGUUACCGACAGAAUAAGCACCGGCUAACUCUGUGCCAGCAGCCGCGGUAAUACAGAGGGUGCAAGCGUUAAUCGGAAUUACUGGGCGUAAAGCGCGCGUAGGUGGUUUGUUAAGUUGGAUGUGAAAUCCCCGGGCUCAACCUGGGAACUGCAUUCAAAACUGACUGACUAGAGUGUGGUAGAGGGUGGUGGAAUUUCCUGUGUAGCGGUGAAAUGCGUAGAUAUAGGAAGGAACACCAGUGGCGAAGGCGACCACCUGGACCAACACUGACACUGAGGUGCGAAAGCGUGGGGAGCA
RNAcentral lists this ribosomal RNA (724 nucleotides) under bacterium 56_oclvp163. RNAcentral's name for it is "bacterial SSU rRNA". It matches the Rfam family "Bacterial small subunit ribosomal RNA", at positions 51 to 770 of the family's 1533-position model. The record is from RNAcentral. RNAcentral also lists the same sequence under 1 other name.